RNAcentral lists this long non-coding RNA (514 nucleotides) under Homo sapiens (human). RNAcentral describes it as "non-protein coding PTPRG-AS1:17". The record is from RNAcentral. Lineage: Eukaryota; Metazoa; Chordata; Mammalia; Primates; Hominidae.
GGGAGCGUCCUUGAGCAAAGCGCCACGCCCCGCGAGGGUAAGCGAUCUACGCCCUACCCCACCGGAGAGCUUCUGGGCGCGUCCCCUUCUCCGGGAGACCUAAGGAGGGCAACCACCGCUCCCAAUCUCCCUUGGCGGCGAGAACUGGAGGCAGGUGCACCCACCACUAGAAUUUGAACAUCCUAAGAACAGGUAUUUUUGUCUCUGCUUUGCUGAUGUAUCCUCAGCAACCGGAACUGCCUGACAUCUGAUCCUUUCUGUGAGACACCAGGCUGUUGAGGAAGAAUCUAUGGCAACAUUGUAUCUAUUAAUAUACAGCUUCUGUAUUUAUCAGGCCCAGUUCUGGUGAUGAUUUCACUUUUGACAGAAGCUGUCCCUCAAAAGCAAACAUGCAAUAGAAGAAACAGAUCUCAAUGGAGUCUCACUCUGUCACCCAGGAUGGAGUACAGUGGCGUGAUCUCGGCUCACUGCAAGCUCCGCCUCCUGGGUUCAUGCCAUUCUCCUGCCUUAGCCU